UGGGGAAUAUUGCGCAAUGGGCGAAAGCCUGACGCAGCGACGCCGCGGGAGGGAUGAAGGUUUUCGGAUCGUAAACCUCUGUCAGAAGGGAAGAAACCGCACUGUGCUAAUCAGCAGUGCCUUGACGGUACCUUCAAAGGAAGCACCGGCUAACUCCGUGCCAGCAGCCGCGGUAAUACGGAGGGUGCAAGCGUUAAUCGGAAUUACUGGGCGUAAAGCGCACGUAGGCUGCUUUGUAAGUCAGGGGUGAAAUCCCACGGCUCAACCGUGGAACUGCCUUUGAUACUGCUUAGCUUGAAUCCGGGAGAGGGUGGCGGAAUUCCAGGUGUAGGAGUGAAAUCCGUAGAUAUCUGGAGGAACAUCAGUGGCGAAGGCGGCCACCUGGACCGGUAUUGACGCUGAGGUGCGAAAGCGUGGGGAGCAAACAGG
This 429-nucleotide ribosomal RNA is filed under the name Fusobacteriota bacterium. RNAcentral's name for it is "Fusobacteria bacterium partial 16S ribosomal RNA". It matches the Rfam family "Bacterial small subunit ribosomal RNA", at positions 355 to 776 of the family's 1533-position model. The record is from RNAcentral. Lineage: Bacteria; Fusobacteriati; Fusobacteriota.